GAUUAACGCUGGCGGCGUGCAUAACACAUGCAAGUCGAACGAUGAAACUUUAAUGACCCCUUCGGGGAGAAUUAAAGCGGCUUAGUGGCGAACGGGUGAGUAACGCGUGAUUAACCUGCCUUACACAAGGGGUUAGCCUUUGGAAACGAAGAAUAAUACCCUAUCACACCAUACAAGCACAUGCAAUUAUGGUCAAAGUGAUAGCGGUGUAAGAUGGACUUGCGUCUGAUUAGCUAGUUGGUGAGAUAAACGCCCACCAAGGCAACGAUCAGUAGCCGGCUUGAGAGAGUGGACGGCCACAUUGGGACUGAGACACGGCCCAGACUCCUACGGGAGGCAGCAGUGGGGAAUUUUGCACAAUGGGGGAAACCCGGAUGCAGCGACGCCGCGUGAUUUAGAAGGCCUUCGGGUUGUAAAAAUCUUUUGUAUAGGAAGAAAAUGACAGUACUAUACGAAUAAGGUCCGGCUAAUUACGUG
This 477-nucleotide ribosomal RNA is filed under the name uncultured bacterium. RNAcentral describes it as "partial 16S ribosomal RNA". It matches the Rfam family "Bacterial small subunit ribosomal RNA", at positions 28 to 507 of the family's 1533-position model. The record is from RNAcentral.